UUUUUUUUUUCUUUUUUUUUUCUUUUUUUUCUCUUUUUUCCCUUUACGGGACAGAGGACCCACAUGUCCUCUAUCUUCUUCUUCAUUCACGGAAUAGGGGGCAUUUGCUCCCCUUUGUUCUCGAUGAGGAGACCUUCCCCCCUCAUCGACCACCACUCAGACCAAUGGGGCAGUCCCUGACGAUGCUGAGCGGUUGGGUCCAGUGACUGGCAGCAGCCAAACCUC
Molecule: long non-coding RNA, 225 nt
Filed under: Elaeis guineensis (African oil palm)
Lineage: Eukaryota; Viridiplantae; Streptophyta; Magnoliopsida; Arecales; Arecaceae
Description: long non-coding RNA (EGUI_LNC023083)
Source: RNAcentral